Molecule: non-coding RNA, 71 nt
Organism: Parelaphostrongylus tenuis
Lineage: Eukaryota; Metazoa; Nematoda; Chromadorea; Rhabditida; Metastrongylidae
Source: the annotation of a GenBank genome assembly
ACCUCGGUGGUCUAAGUGGCAGCACGCGUCCCCGGCAUGGAUGAGCGUGGGUUCGACUCCCGUCUGAAGCC